RNAcentral lists this unclassified non-coding RNA (89 nucleotides) under Pseudomonas sp. bs2935. The record is from RNAcentral. Lineage: Bacteria; Pseudomonadati; Pseudomonadota; Gammaproteobacteria; Pseudomonadales; Pseudomonadaceae.
UGUGGGAGCUGGCUUGCCUGCGAUAGCGGUGGGUCAGUCAACUAAUCUGUCACUGAUACACCGCUAUCGCAGGCAAGCCAGCUCCCACA